Aspergillus nidulans FGSC A4 is the source of this 80-nucleotide small nucleolar RNA. It matches the Rfam family "A. fumigatus snoRNA Afu_294". Lineage: Eukaryota; Fungi; Ascomycota; Eurotiomycetes; Eurotiales; Aspergillaceae. The record is from Rfam.
UAUGAUGAUGAUUUCUUUAAUUGCUGUUACUUCUGAAUGCAUUUUGAAGAAACUUCUUUUUCACCUUGGAGAACUGAUGU